Molecule: non-coding RNA, 70 nt
Organism: Podarcis lilfordi (Lilford's wall lizard)
Lineage: Eukaryota; Metazoa; Chordata; Lepidosauria; Squamata; Lacertidae
Source: the annotation of a GenBank genome assembly
GGCCAUGGCUCAACAGCAGAGCAUCUGUUUUGCAUGCAGAAGGUCUCUGGUUUGAUCCCUGACAUCUCCA